Molecule: unclassified non-coding RNA, 337 nt
Filed under: soil metagenome
Description: partial contains 5.8S ribosomal RNA, internal transcribed spacer 2, and large subunit ribosomal RNA
Rfam family: 5.8S ribosomal RNA (bases 1-120)
Source: RNAcentral
GAUGAAGAACGCAGCGAAAUGCGAUAAGUAGUGUGAAUUGCAGAAUUCAGUGAAUCAUCGAAUCUUUGAACGCACAUUGCGCCCCUUGGUAUUCCAUGGGGCAUGCCUGUUCGAGCGUCAUCUACACCCUCAAGCUCUGCUUGGUGUUGGGCGUCUGUCCCGCCUUUGCGCGUGGACUCGCCCCAAAUUCAUUGGCAGCGGUCCUUGCCUCCUCUCGCGCAGCACAUUUGCGCUUCUCGAGGUGCGCGGGCCGCGUCCACGAAGCAACUAUUACCGUCUUUGACCUCGGAUCAGGUAGGGAUACCCGCUGAACUUAAGCAUAACAAUAAGCGGAGGA